GACGAACGCGGCGGCGUGCCUAAUACAUGCAAGUAGAACGCUGAAGAGAGGAGCUUGCUCUUCUUGAUGAGUUGCGAACGGGUGAGUAACGCGUAGGUAACCUGCCUGGUAGCGGGGGAUAACUAUUGGAAACGAUAGCUAAUACCGCAUGAAAUGGAUUAUCGCAUGAUAAUUCAUUGAAAGGUGCAAAUGCAUCACUACCAGAUGGACCUGCGUUGUAUUAGCUAGUUGGUGGGGUAACGGCUCACCAAGGCGACGAUACAUAGCCGACCUGAGAGGGUGAUCGGCCACACUGGGACUGAGACACGGCCCAGACUCCUACGGGAGGCAGCAGUAGGGAAUCUUCGGCAAUGGACGGAAGUCUGACCGAGCAACGCCGCGUGAGUGAAGAAGGUUUUCGGAUCGUAAAGCUCUGUUGUAAGAGAAGAACGAGUGUGAGAGUGGAAAGUUCACACUGUGACGGUAUCUUACCAGAAAGGGACGGCUAACUACGUGCCAGCAGCCGCGGUAAUACGUAGGUCCCGAGCGUUGUCCGGAUUUAUUGGGCGUAAAGCGAGCGCGGGCGGUUAGAUAAGUCUGAAGUUAAAGGCUGUGGCUUAACCAUAGUACGCUUUGGAAACUGUUUAACUUGAGUGCAAGAGGGGAGAGUGGAAUUCCAUGUGUAGCGGUGAAAUGCGUAGAUAUAUGGAGGAACACCGGUGGCGAAAGCGGCUCUCUGGCUUGUAACUGACGCUGAGGCUCGAAAGCGUGGGGAGCAAACAGG
Molecule: ribosomal RNA, 763 nt
Filed under: uncultured Streptococcus sp.
Lineage: Bacteria; Bacillati; Bacillota; Bacilli; Lactobacillales; Streptococcaceae
Description: bacterial SSU rRNA
Rfam family: Bacterial small subunit ribosomal RNA
Source: RNAcentral